UACGUAGGGGGCAAGCGUUGUCCGGAAUCAUUGGGCGUAAAGAGCGUGUAGGCGGCUCGAUAAGUCCGCUCUGAAAGCCCGGGGCUCAACCCCGGGAGGCGGGUGGAUACUGUCGACCUCGAGUCCGGAAGAGGCGAGUGGAAUUCCUGGUGUAGCGGUGAAAUGCGCAGAUAUCAGGAGGAACACCAAUGGCGAAGGCAGCUCGCUGGGACGGUACUGACGCUGAGACGCGAAAGCGUGGGGAGCAAACAGG
This 253-nucleotide ribosomal RNA is filed under the name uncultured bacterium. RNAcentral's name for it is "partial 16S ribosomal RNA". It matches the Rfam family "Bacterial small subunit ribosomal RNA", at positions 524 to 776 of the family's 1533-position model. The record is from RNAcentral.